Molecule: ribosomal RNA, 497 nt
Filed under: uncultured bacterium
Lineage: Bacteria
Description: partial 16S ribosomal RNA
Rfam family: Bacterial small subunit ribosomal RNA
Source: RNAcentral
GAUGAACGCUGGCGGCGUGCCUAAUACAUGCAAGUCGAGCGAACAGACGAGGAGCUUGCUCCUCUGACGUUAGCGGCGGACGGGUGAGUAACACGUGGAUAACCUACCUAUAAGACUGGGAUAACUUCGGGAAACCGGAGCUAAUACCGGAUAAUAUCUUGAACCGCAUGGUUCAAUAGUGAAAGACGGUUUUGCUGUCACUUAUAGAUGGAUCCGCGCCGCAUUAGCUAGUUGGUAAGGUAACGGCUUACCAAGGCAACGAUGCGUAGCCGACCUGAGAGGGUGAUCGGCCACACUGGAACUGAGACACGGUCCAGACUCCUACGGGAGGCAGCAGUAGGGAAUCUUCCACAAUGGGCGAAAGCCUGACGGAGCAACGCCGCGUGAGUGAUGAAGGUCUUCGGAUCGUAAAACUCUGUUAUUAGGGAAGAACAAAUGUGUAAGUAACUAUGCACGUCUUGACGGUACCUAAUCAGAAAGCCACGGCUAACUACGUG